AAAAAAGAAGAGUGACUUCAAGACUAAUUCGGGGGAUCAAGUACCUUAUUGUGCCAUGAUAUUUAUCAAAAUAUUAACAAAACUGCAGAGAAUCAAAUAGUUUUUAAUCGAGAGAACGAGACUGUUUGUUCAUCGAGCAAAACUUGGCAUUGGUUUAAUGCCACCGCACAAGUUCCUUUGAAACAAGUGCGCUACCUAAGUUCUCUACAAACUGAAUGUCCUAGAGGUGACAGUUGGCAGUGCAUUUGUGAGUUCAGCAGACUAGAACUACUUAAAGAUAAAAUGCCAACAUUUGCCGUAAGUGUCGACUGCAGUAAUAUGCAGCUG
This 327-nucleotide long non-coding RNA is filed under the name Copidosoma floridanum. Its description in RNAcentral is "uncharacterized LOC111643238". The record is from RNAcentral. Lineage: Eukaryota; Metazoa; Arthropoda; Insecta; Hymenoptera; Encyrtidae.